RNAcentral lists this ribosomal RNA (503 nucleotides) under uncultured bacterium. Its description in RNAcentral is "partial 16S ribosomal RNA". It matches the Rfam family "Bacterial small subunit ribosomal RNA", at positions 30 to 523 of the family's 1533-position model. The record is from RNAcentral.
AUUGAACGCUGGCGGCAGGCUUAACACAUGCAAGUCGAGCGGGGUGAUGGUGCUUGCACUAUCACUUAGCGGCGGACGGGUGAGUAAUGCUUAGGAAUCUGCCUAUUAGUGGGGGACAACAUCUCGAAAGGGAUGCUAAUACCGCAUACGUCCUACGGGAGAAAGCAGGGGAUCACUUGUGACCUUGUGCUAAUAGAUGAGCCUAAGUCGGAUUAGCUAGUUGGUGGGGUAAAGGCCUACCAAGGCGACGAUCUGUAGCGGGUCUGAGAGGAUGAUCCGCAACACCGGGACUGAGACUCGGCCCAGACUCAUACGGGAGGCAGCAGUGGGGAAUAUUGGACAAUGGGGGGAACCCUGAUCCAGCCAUGCCGCGUGUGUGAAGAAGGCCUUAUGGUUGUAAAGCACUUUAAGCGAGGAGGAGGCUUACCUAGUUAAUACCUGGGAUAAGUGGACGUUACUCGCAGAAUAAGCACCGGCUAACUCUGUGCCAGCCGCCGCCGUAA